Molecule: ribosomal RNA, 301 nt
Filed under: uncultured bacterium
Lineage: Bacteria
Description: partial 16S ribosomal RNA
Rfam family: Bacterial small subunit ribosomal RNA
Source: RNAcentral
CAGCCGCCGCGGUAAUACGAAGGGGGCUAGCGUUGUUCGGAUUUACUGGGCGUAAAGGGUGCGUAGGCGGAUUGUUAAGUCAGGGGUGAAAUCCCGAGGCUCAACCUCGGAACUGCCUUUGAUACUGGCGAUCUUGAGUCCGGGAGAGGUGGGCGGAACUGCGAGUGUAGAGGUGAAAUUCGUAGAUAUUCGCAAGAACACCGGUGGCGAAGGCGGCUCACUGGCCCGGAACUGACGCUGAGGCACUAAAGCGUGGGGAGCAAACAGGAUUAGAUACCCGCGUAGUCCCUGUCUCUUAUAU